CGGGUUAAGUCCCGACAACGAGCGACCUACCUUGUUGUUUAGUUGCAAACAGGUCAAGCUGUGCACUCUAGACAGACUGCCCGUGGACAACACGGAGGAAGGUGGGGAUGACGUCAAAUCAUCAUGCCCCUUAUGAUCUGGGCUACACACGUGCUACAAUGGCCGGUACAACGGGCAGCGAAGGAGCGAUCCGGAGCGAAUCCUAAAAAGCCGGUCCCAGUUCGGAUUGCAGGCUGAAACUCGCCUACAUGAAGUUGGAGUUGCUAGUAAUCGCGAAAUCAGAAUGUCGCGGUGAAUGCGUUCCCGGGUCUU
Molecule: ribosomal RNA, 312 nt
Filed under: uncultured Fusibacter sp.
Lineage: Bacteria; Bacillati; Bacillota; Clostridia; Eubacteriales; Fusibacteraceae
Description: bacterial SSU rRNA
Rfam family: Bacterial small subunit ribosomal RNA
Source: RNAcentral